UACGUAGGGUCCGAGCGUUGUCCGGAAUUACUGGGCGUAAAGAGCUCGUAGGUGGUUUGUCGCGUUGUUCGUGAAAACUCACAGCUCAACUGUGGGCGUGCGGGCGAUACGGGCAGACUAGAGUACUGCAGGGGAGACUGGAAUUCCUGGUGUAGCGGUGGAAUGCGCAGAUAUCAGGAGGAACACCGGUGGCGAAGGCGGGUCUCUGGGCAGUAACUGACGCUGAGGAGCGAAAGCGUGGGGGAGCGAACAGGG
RNAcentral lists this ribosomal RNA (255 nucleotides) under uncultured bacterium. Its description in RNAcentral is "partial 16S ribosomal RNA". It matches the Rfam family "Bacterial small subunit ribosomal RNA", at positions 524 to 777 of the family's 1533-position model. The record is from RNAcentral.